CAGGCCUAACACAUGCAAGUCGAGCGGUAUUUCUUCUUCGGAAGAGAGAGAGCGGCAUACGGGUGCGUAACACGUGUGCAACCUACCUUUAUCUGGGGAAUAGCCUUUCGAAAGGAAGAUUAAUACCCUAUAAUAUAUUGAAUGGCAUCAUUUAAUAUUGAAAACUCCGGUGGAUAGAGAUGGGCACGCGCAAGAUUAGAUAGUUGGUGAGGUAACGGCUCACCAAGUCAAUGAUCUUUAGGGGUCCUGAGAGGGAGAUCCCCCACACUGGUACUGAGACACGGACCAGACUCCUACGGGAGGCAGCAGUGAGGAAUAUUGGACAAUGGGUGAAAGCCUGAUCCAGCCAUCCCGCGUGAAGGAUGACGGUCCUAUGGAUUGUAAACUUCUUUUGUACAGGAAUAACCUACUCUCGUGAGAGUAGCUGAAGGUACUGUACGAAUAAGCACCGGCUAACUCCGUGCCAGCAGCCGCGGUAAUACGGAGGGUGCAAGCGUUAUCCGGAUUUAUUGGGUUUAAAGGGUCCGUAGGCGGACCCGUAAGUCAGUGGUGAAAUCUCAUAGCUCAACUAUGAAACUGCCAUUGAUACUGCGGGUCUUGAGUAAAUUUGAAGUGGCUGGAAUAAGUAGUGUAGCGGUGAAAUGCAUAGAUAUUACUUAGAACACCAAUUGCGAAGGCAGGUCACUAAGAUCUAACUGACGCUGAGGGACGAAAGCGUGGGUAGCGAACAGGAUUAGAUACCCUGGUAGUCCACGCCGUAAACGAUGCUAACUCGUUUUUGGAUCUUCGGAUUCAGAGACCAAGCGAAAGUGAUAAGUUUAGCCACCUGGGGAGUACGAUCGCAAGAUUGAAACUCAAAGGAAUU
Molecule: ribosomal RNA, 865 nt
Filed under: uncultured bacterium
Lineage: Bacteria
Description: bacterial SSU rRNA
Rfam family: Bacterial small subunit ribosomal RNA
Source: RNAcentral